CGGGCCGCCCCAAAAGCUCUCUGGGCCUCACUGCCAGCCGACCUUCUAUAGUAAUCAACUAUUCUCCGAAUCUCUUUUGGAUCCCAACCGAGCUCCCGUGAGAGCCGAACUUCUACUACGAGCGGUCUAUACCGAAUUCCUACAGCCGGCUGUCUACCCCAGAUAUCUACUGUAAGCAAAUUCCAUUCAAGCCUCUACUGUAAAUAAAUUUCUUUCGAACUUCUACUAC
This 229-nucleotide long non-coding RNA is filed under the name Elaeis guineensis (African oil palm). RNAcentral's name for it is "long non-coding RNA (EGUI_LNC066123)". The record is from RNAcentral. Lineage: Eukaryota; Viridiplantae; Streptophyta; Magnoliopsida; Arecales; Arecaceae.